UUUGUCGGAGAGUUUGAUCCUGGCUCAGGACAAACGCUGGCGGCGUGCAUAAAACAUGCAAGUCGAACGG
Molecule: ribosomal RNA, 70 nt
Filed under: Chloroflexota bacterium
Lineage: Bacteria; Bacillati; Chloroflexota
Description: Chloroflexi bacterium partial 16S ribosomal RNA
Rfam family: Bacterial small subunit ribosomal RNA
Source: RNAcentral